UGAGCUUGAUCCCUGGCUCAGAACGAACGCUGGCGGCAGGCUUAACACAUGCAAGUCGAGCGCCUCGCAAGAGGAGCGGCAGACGGGUGAGUAACGCGUGGGAAUCUACCCAUCUCUACGGAAUAACUCAGGGAAACUUGUGCUAAUACCGUAUACGCCCUUAGGGGGAAAGAUUUAUCGGAGAUGGAUGAGCCCGCGUUGGAUUAGCUAGUUGGUGGGGUAAAGGCCUACCAAGGCGACGAUCCAUAGCUGGUCUGAGAGGAUGAUCAGCCACAUUGGGACUGAGACACGGCCCAAACUCCUACGGGAGGCAGCAGUGGGGAAUAUUGGACAAUGGGCGCAAGCCUGAUCCAGCCAUGCCGCGUGAGUGAUGAAGGCCUUAGGGUUGUAAAGCUCUUUCACCGGAGAAGAUAAUGACGGUAUCCGGAGAAGAAGCCCCGGCUA
Molecule: ribosomal RNA, 444 nt
Filed under: Rhizobium sp. CL3.42
Lineage: Bacteria; Pseudomonadati; Pseudomonadota; Alphaproteobacteria; Hyphomicrobiales; Rhizobiaceae
Description: bacterial SSU rRNA
Rfam family: Bacterial small subunit ribosomal RNA
Source: RNAcentral